GAAUUGUUCUUUAAUUUGAGAGUGGAAAAAUUGAUGGAAUACGUGAAAACUCUUUCAAUUCUCUAAUUCAUUUCCUUUUAGAGAAAUCUUGCAAUUGAUAGACAGGUUGACAGAAGUGAAAAAUAAGAUGAAGCGCUACGUCUGAAUUCUGUUUGACAGAAAGAUCGAUUAAGAUCUACUCGCUACUUGAUGCCCCUUGAUAAUGACACUUCAUUGCAUUACUUGUAAUAAUGACAGUGAAGUUGAUAAUUAUAAUCGA
Molecule: long non-coding RNA, 259 nt
Organism: Centruroides sculpturatus (bark scorpion)
Lineage: Eukaryota; Metazoa; Arthropoda; Arachnida; Scorpiones; Buthidae
Exons: 3
Source: RefSeq, a predicted model, not a curated record